CUCCACAGCCGCCACCAAGAUCACCAUCGCCGAGAUGUGCGGGGUCAAGAGAAAUUUCGAUGAACGAGUCUUCAUCGUCAUCGUCUGUCUGAUCGUUAUCGGAUAAGAUAGUGAGAGAGGAAGAGGAGUUGAAAUCGUAGCAGCUGCGCAGCUGCUAAAUGAGAAACUGUCUUCCAGCUUUGGAUCUCGAGAUUCAAAGGUUUUGCUUUCCAUGAUCAUAAAGAUCAGAGUUGGUGUUGGUUUGGAGAUAGGAAUUGCAUGUAUAGUUAAGCUAAAGCAU
RNAcentral lists this unclassified non-coding RNA (280 nucleotides) under Hevea brasiliensis (rubber tree). Lineage: Eukaryota; Viridiplantae; Streptophyta; Magnoliopsida; Malpighiales; Euphorbiaceae. The record is from RNAcentral.